This 445-nucleotide ribosomal RNA is filed under the name uncultured bacterium. RNAcentral describes it as "partial 16S ribosomal RNA". It matches the Rfam family "Bacterial small subunit ribosomal RNA", at positions 354 to 796 of the family's 1533-position model. The record is from RNAcentral.
GUGAGGAAUAUUGGUCAAUGGACGAGAGUCUGAACCAGCCAAGUCGCGUGAAGGAAGACGGUUCUAUGAAUUGUAAACUUCUUUUGUGCAGGAAUAAAGUGGGUUACGUGUAACCUUUUGUAUGUACUGUACGAAUAAGGAUCGGCUAACUCCGUGCCAGCAGCCGCGGUAAUACGGAGGAUCCGAGCGUUAUCCGGAUUUAUUGGGUUUAAAGGGUGCGGAGGUGGAUUGAUAAGUCAGCGGUGAAAGUUUGCAGCUUAACUGUAAAAUUGCCGUUGAAACUGUCGGUCUUGAGUGCAAAUGAGGUAGGCGGAAUGUGUUGUGUAGCGGUGAAAUGCUUAGAUAUAACACAGAACUCCGAUUGCGAAGGCAGCUUACUGGGAUGCAACUGACACUGAUGCACGAAAGCGUGGGUAUCAAACAGGAUUAGAUACCCCAGUAGUCC